UGGAUCCAGACUUUGAUUAUGGCUCAGGAUGAACGCUAGCUACAGGCUUAACACAUGCAAGUCGAGGGGAAACGACAUCGAAAGCUUGCUUUUGAUGGGCGUCGACCGGCGCACGGGUGAGUAACGCGUAUCCAACCUGCCCACCACUUGGGGAUAACCUUGCGAAAGUAAGACUAAUACCCAAUGAUAUCUCUAGAAGACAUCUGAAAGAGAUUAAAGAUUUAUCGGUGAUGGAUGGGGAUGCGUCUGAUUAGCUUGUUGGCGGGGUAACGGCCCACCAAGGCAACGAUCAGUAGGGGUUCUGAGAGGAAGGUCCCCCACAUUGGAACUGAGACACGGUCCAAACUCCUACGGGAGGCAGCAGUGAGGAAUAUUGGUCAAUGGACGAGAGUCUGAACCAGCCAAGUAGCGUGCAGGAUGACGGCCCUAUGGGUUGUAAACUGCUUUUAUAAGGGAAUAAAGUGAGUCUCGUGAGACUUUUUGCAUGUACCUUAUGAAUAAGGACCGGCUAAUUCCGUGCCAGCAGCCGCGGUAAUACGGAAGGUCCGGGCGUUAUCCGGAUUUAUUGGGUUUAAAGGGAGCGUAGGCCGGAGAUUAAGCGUGUUGUGAAAUGUAGACGCUCAACGUCUGCACUGCAGCGCGAACUGGUUUCCUUGAGUACGCACAAAGUGGGCGGAAUUCGUGGUGUAGCGGUGAAACGCUUAGAUAUCACGAAGAACUCCGAUUGCGAAGGCAGCUCACUGGAGCGCAACUGACGCUGAAGCUCGAAAGUGCGGGUAUCGAACAGGAUUAGAUACCCUGGUAGUCCGCACGGUAAACGAUGGAUGCCCGCUGUUGGUCUGAAUAGGUCAGCGGCCAAGCGAAAGCAUUAAGCAUCCCACCUGGGGAGUACGCCGGCAACGGUGCAACUCAAAUGAAUUGACGGAA
This 927-nucleotide ribosomal RNA is filed under the name uncultured Bacteroidota bacterium. RNAcentral's name for it is "bacterial SSU rRNA". It matches the Rfam family "Bacterial small subunit ribosomal RNA", at positions 1 to 918 of the family's 1533-position model. The record is from RNAcentral. Lineage: Bacteria; Pseudomonadati; Bacteroidota.